RNAcentral lists this long non-coding RNA (590 nucleotides) under Helianthus annuus (common sunflower). Its description in RNAcentral is "hypothetical non coding rna". Lineage: Eukaryota; Viridiplantae; Streptophyta; Magnoliopsida; Asterales; Asteraceae. The record is from RNAcentral.
GUCGUAUCAUUCGUGUUCGACAAAGCCUGGCGGUGUAUAGUGAUCGGGAGGCUGUUGAUCGCAGCUGCAUUGAGUCCUCGUAGCUGAGACGAGGGUGGAGAGGUGUGGUAAAAGGACGAGGUGGUGGAGGAGGCACGGGAGCUAAUGGUACAACGAGAGUACAAGAAAAAGAUAAUGGUUACAAGUAGAAUAAUGGAAAAGAGGACGAGCAUAUAGAGGCGUGUGUUGUGGCGGAUUUGGAAGUUGUCGUCGUCUAAGUCGUCGUCUUGCCAGUGGAACGUUAGAGAGUCGUUGGUAGACAUUGUGUUGUGUUAUGAUGGUGGGAGUUAUGUGGUCGUGUUAGGAUGGUGUUCCGGCAAUGCUUUAGAGUUAAGGGAAGGGACUAGUUGGGAAAAGGGAAAAGAUUGUUUAUUUAUGAGUUGGAUACUCUGUAAUUGCCCUAUCAAGAGUUUGUUUUUCAUACUUUUAAAUUGGAUAAAUAAAUAAAUAAAUAAGCACUAUGUCACUAGUAAAAUGAUUUACUUUAAUAGUUAUAUAUUUUCAUGUAACAAGUUGUUUUUUAAAAAGGAAAAAUUACAAGUUUUGUUCUU